AACAUUAGGUACCAAUAUGCAAUUUAACAUCAGAAGAAAAAUCAUUUUUGGAUAGUGCACACCUGGAUGUAGAAGACAAUGUUGAGACGGAAGAAUUAACAGUAGAAAAUACAGAAGUCAAUGAAAAUAGUCAGCAAAAACAGCUAGAUUUUCCAACAGUAACUAAACAGCAUAAAUUAAAUGGUGAAGUAAACGGUGAAGUUACUAUAGUUAACAAGAAAAAUACAGAAGAUACAAUAAAUGAGGAACAUAGUUUUAGUUUUGAAAGUUCAAAACAAACGUUGUUGCAAUGUUUUACUGUUUGAAUAAAUUCUUUACUACAGGAACAAGUUAAGGACAGCAGCACUACACCACAAUCUGCACAUACAGAUGAGGUAUCUAUUGUACAAGUACCAGAGUGUGCACAUAUUGAUGAGUUAUAUCUUGCGCCAGUACAGGAGUGUGCACAUAAUGAUGAGUUAUCUUUUACGCCAGUACCAGAGAGACAAUUGUCAAAUCAGGAGUAUAUGGAAAAUAUGUGGAGACAGAAACUAGAAAAGAUUCUCCCUGUAGAAAGAAGUAAUAAUGUUUACAAUGCAACACCUUUGGCUGACAUUACAAACUCACAGAUGGUUCGCAACACUGAUAUGAUGCAGA
Long non-coding RNA from Mytilus californianus (California mussel), 636 nucleotides. RefSeq lists it as uncharacterized. The record is from RefSeq and is a predicted model, not a curated record. NCBI's taxonomy places the organism in Eukaryota, Metazoa, Mollusca, Bivalvia, Mytilida, Mytilidae. The transcript is spliced from 4 exons.